RNAcentral lists this ribosomal RNA (452 nucleotides) under uncultured bacterium. RNAcentral describes it as "bacterial SSU rRNA". It matches the Rfam family "Bacterial small subunit ribosomal RNA", at positions 329 to 795 of the family's 1533-position model. The record is from RNAcentral.
UUCCAGACUCCUACGGGAGGCAGCAGUGGGGAAUAUUGGGCAAUGGGCGCAAGCCUGACCCAGCAACGCCGCGUGAAGGAAGAAGGCUUUCGGGUUGUAAACUUCUUUUGUCAGGGACGAAGCAAGUGACGGUACCUGACGAAUAAGCCACGGCUAACUACGUGCCAGCAGCCGCGGUAAUACGUAGGUGGCAAGUGUUGUCCGGAUUUACUGGGUGUAAAGGGCGUGCAGCCGGAGAGACAAGUCAGAUGUGAAAUCCACGGGCUCAACCCGUGAACUGCAUUUGAAACUGUUUCCCUUGAGUGUCGGAGGGGUAAUCGGAAUUCCUUGUGUAGCGGUGAAAUGCGUAGAUAUAAGGAAGAACACCAGUGGCGAAGGCGGAUUACUGGACGAUAACUGACGGUGAGGCGCGAAAGCGUGGGGAGCAAACAGGAUUAGAUACCCGCGUAAAC